CCCUUAGAUGUUCUGGGCCGCACACGCGCUACACUGGCAGGUUCAUCGAGCUUCAUGCCCUGAUCUGAGAAGAAUGGGAAAUCUUUGAACACCUGCCGUGCUUGGGAUAGAUGUUUGCAAUUAUUCAUCUUCAACGAGGAUUGCCUUGUAAGCGCACGUCAUCAGCGUGCAUUGAAUACGACCCUGUAUUCUGUACACACCGCCCGUCGCUCCUACCGAUUGAAGUUUUCGGUGAAUUUACUGGAGAUCCCUUUUGAAGGUGGUUCGCCACUGGAGGAAGUAUUCAAAAGUAAAUGAAUCGAAUGCUUUAGAGGAAGGAGAAGUCGUAACA
This 331-nucleotide ribosomal RNA is filed under the name uncultured eukaryote. RNAcentral describes it as "partial 18S ribosomal RNA". It matches the Rfam family "Eukaryotic small subunit ribosomal RNA", at positions 1470 to 1796 of the family's 1831-position model. The record is from RNAcentral.